AACCAACUUUACCACUUUAUAUACGUGGAAAUAAAAUUCUCUCUCAUAUAAAAAAUUACUUUCUAUCUAAAAAUAAUUAGACAAAUAAGCUUAUCUUUUAUUUAAAAUUAUUUUUUUCAACUACAACAAUUGGACCUUCUUAUACAGUUCCAAUCAUUAUAGUUGAAUUCAAAUAUAUUAUAUUGAAUACCGAAUUUGAAUAUACAUGUAAUUACAACUGUAAUAAGAUUGGAACUAUAUGCAACUAAAUACUGAAGUUGAAUUCAAAUAUAUUAUAUUAAAUACUGAAUUUGAAUAUGCAUGUAAUCACAACUAUAAUAAGAUUGGAACUAUAUGCAAC
Molecule: long non-coding RNA, 340 nt
Filed under: Ananas comosus (pineapple)
Lineage: Eukaryota; Viridiplantae; Streptophyta; Magnoliopsida; Poales; Bromeliaceae
Description: long non-coding RNA (ACOM_LNC036334)
Source: RNAcentral